GAUGAACGCUGGCGGCGUGCCUAAUACAUGCAAGUCGAGCGGACAGACGAGGAGCUUGCUCCUCUGACGUUAGCGGCGGACGGGUGAGUAACACGUGGAUAACCUACCUAUAAGACUGGGAUAACUUCGGGAAACCGGAGCUAAUACCGGAUAAUAUAUUGAACCGCAUGGUUCAAUAGUGAAAGACGGUUUUGCUGUCACUUAUAGAUGGAUCCGCGCCGCAUUAGCUAGUUGGUAAGGUAACGGCUUACCAAGGCAACGAUGCGUAGCCGACCUGAGAGGGUGAUCGGCCACACUGGAACUGAGACACGGUCCAGACUCCUACGGGAGGCAGCAGUAGGGAAUCUUCCGCAAUGGGCGAAAGCCUAACGGAGCAACGCCGCGUGAGUGAUGAAGGUCUUCGGAUCGUAAAACUCUGUUAUUAGGGAAGAACAAAUGUGUAAGUAACUAUGCACGUCUUGACGGUACCUAAUCAGAAAGCCACGGCUAACUACGUG
RNAcentral lists this ribosomal RNA (497 nucleotides) under uncultured bacterium. Its description in RNAcentral is "partial 16S ribosomal RNA". It matches the Rfam family "Bacterial small subunit ribosomal RNA", at positions 28 to 507 of the family's 1533-position model. The record is from RNAcentral.